Molecule: long non-coding RNA, 290 nt
Organism: Callorhinus ursinus (northern fur seal)
Lineage: Eukaryota; Metazoa; Chordata; Mammalia; Carnivora; Otariidae
Source: RefSeq, a predicted model, not a curated record
GCUUUCUCCAUCAGACUGUGAACUCCUGAGUAUAUUCUAGAUACCUAAACCUUAAUCUUCCCUGAGUGAAGAACAACUUACUAUGAAGUGACCUACAAUAGCAACACUCAGAAUUCUCUCAAAUCACAUUGGGCAGUGCAAUCAGCUCUCAGGUAUCUGCUUGAGAACUAGCUACAGAAAAUAAGGAAACAAAGAUUGAAACAAAAAUGCCCUACACAACAUGAAGGACCUGUAUGCUUACAGAGGGUGAGGUGUCAAAGUAAGGAAUUCCUGGACAAACUUCAAGACUA